Molecule: ribosomal RNA, 433 nt
Filed under: uncultured bacterium
Lineage: Bacteria
Description: partial 16S ribosomal RNA
Rfam family: Bacterial small subunit ribosomal RNA
Source: RNAcentral
AACGAACGCUGGCGGCAUGCCUAACACAUGCAAGUCGAACGAGACCUUCGGGUCUAGUGGCGCACGGGUGCGUAACGCGUGGGAACCUGCCCUUAGGUUCGGAAUAACUCCCCGAAAGGGGUGCUAAUACCGGAUAAUUUCUUCGGACCAAAGAUUUAUCGCCUUUGGAUGGGCCCGCGUUGGAUUAGCUAGUUGGUAGGGUAAAAGCCUACCAAGGCGACGAUCCCUAGCUGGUCUGAGAGGAUGAUCAGCCACACUGGGACUGAGACACGGACGAGACUCUUACGGGAGGCAGCAGUGGGGAAUAUUGGACAAUGGGCGAAAGCAUGAUCCAGCAAUGCCGCGUGAGUGAUGAAGGAGUUAGGGUUGUAAAGCUCUUUUACACGCGAUGAUAAUGACAGUACCGGGAGAAUAAGCGCCGGCUAACUCCGUG